This 747-nucleotide long non-coding RNA is filed under the name Pelobates cultripes (western spadefoot toad). The record is from RNAcentral. Lineage: Eukaryota; Metazoa; Chordata; Amphibia; Anura; Pelobatidae.
CUCAGAGGGGCUGUCUAUUAGAGGGUCUGUCUCUGGCUUUCUCUCAGAGGGGCUGUCUAUUAGAGGGUCUGUCUCUGGCUGUCUCUCAGAGGGGCUGUCUAUUAGAGGGUCUGUCUCUGGCUGUCUCUCAGAGGGGCUGUCUAUUAGAGGGUCUGUCUCUGGCUUUCUCUCAGAGGGGCUGUCUAUUAGAGGGUCUGUCUCUGGCUUUCUCUCAGAGGGGCUGUCUAUUAGAGGGUCUGUCUCUGGCUGUCUCUCAGAGGGGCUGUCUAUUAGAGGGUCUGUCUCUGGCUUUCUCUCAGAGGGGCUGUCUAUUAGAGGGUCUGUCUCUGGCUGUCUCUCAGAGGGGCUGUCUAUUAGAGGGUCUGUCUCUGGCUGUCUCUCAGAGGGGCUGUCUAUUAGAGGGUCUGUCUCUGGCUUUCUCUCAGAGGGGCUGUCUCUCAGGGGGUCUGUCUCUGGCUGUCUCUCAGGGGGUCUGUCUCUGGCUGUCUCUCAGAGGGGCUGUCUAUUAGAGGGUCUGUCUCUGGCUGUCUCUCAGAGGGGCUGUCUCUGGCUGUCUCUCAGAGGGGCUGUCUCUCAGGGGGGCUGUCUCUGGCUGUCUCUCAGAGGGUCUGUCUCUGGCUGUCUCUCAGAGGGGCUGUCUCUCAGGAGGUCUGUCUCUGGCUGUCUCUCAGGGGGUCUGUCUCUGGCUGUCUCUCAGAGGGGCUGUCUAUUAGAGGGUCUGUCUCUGGCUGUCUCUCAGAGGGGCUG